AGUCGACGAUGAAUCUUCUAGCUUGCUAGAAGUGGAUUAGUGGCGCACGGGUGAGUAAUGCAUAGGUUAUGUGCCCUUUAGUCUGGGAUAGCCACUGGAAACGGUGAUUAAUACUGGAUACUCCCUACGGGGGAAAGUUUUUCGCUAAAGGAUCAGCCUAUGUCCUAUCAGCUUGUUGGUGAGGUAAUGGCUCACCAAGGCUAUGACGGGUAUCCGGCCUGAGAGGGUGAUCGGACACACUGGAACUGAGACACGGUCCAGACUCCUACGGGAGGCAGCAGUAGGGAAUAUUGCUCAAUGGGGGAAACCCUGAAGCAGCAACGCCGCGUGGAGGAUGAAGGUUUUAGGAUUGUAAACUCCUUUUGUUAGAGAAGAUUAUGACGGUAUCUAACGAAUAAGCACCGGCUAACUCCGUGCCAGCAGCCGCGGUAAUACGGAGGGUGCAAGCGUUACUCGGAAUCACUGGGCGUAAAGAGUGCGUAGGCGGGGUAAUAAGUCAGAUGUGAAAUCCUGUAGCUUAACUACAGAACUGCAUUUGAAACUGUUACUCUGGAGUGUGGGAGAGGUAGGUGGAAUUCUUGGUGUAGGGGUAAAAUCCGUAGAGAUCAAGAGGAAUACUCAUUGCGAAGGCGACCUGCUGGAACAUUACUGACGCUGAUGCACGAAAGCGUGGGGAGCAAACAGGAUUAGAUACCCUGGUAGUCCACGCCCUAAACGAUGGAUGCUAGUUGUUGCCUUGCUUGUCAGGGCAGUAAUGCAGCUAACGCAUUAAGCAUCCCGCCUGGGGAGUACGGUCGCAAGAUUAAAACUCAAAGGAAUAGACGGGGACCCGCACAAGCGGUGGAGCAUGUGGUUUAAUUCGAAGAUACGCGAAGAACUUUACCUAGGC
RNAcentral lists this ribosomal RNA (889 nucleotides) under uncultured bacterium. Its description in RNAcentral is "bacterial SSU rRNA". It matches the Rfam family "Bacterial small subunit ribosomal RNA", at positions 60 to 980 of the family's 1533-position model. The record is from RNAcentral.